This 253-nucleotide unclassified non-coding RNA is filed under the name uncultured Planctomycetia bacterium. Its description in RNAcentral is "contains 16S-23S intergenic spacer region". It matches the Rfam family "Bacterial small subunit ribosomal RNA", at positions 524 to 776 of the family's 1533-position model. Lineage: Bacteria; Pseudomonadati; Planctomycetota; Planctomycetia. The record is from RNAcentral.
GACGAACCGUGCGAACGUUGUUCGGAAUCACUGGGCUUAAAGGGCGCGUAGGCGGACUGCACAGUCAGGGGUGAAAGCUCCCGGCCCAACCGGGAAAGUGCCUUUGAUACUGGCGGUCUCGAGGGAGGUAGGGGCACGUGGAACUUCCGGUGGAGCGGUGAAAUGCGUAGAUAUCGGAAGGAACGCCGGUGGCGAAAGCGACGUGCUGGAUCUCUACUGACGCUGAGGCGCGAAAGCCAGGGGAGCAAACGGG